AUUCCGAGUUUUUGGUCAAGUUGUGGCUAGAUUUUUCUCGACCGACCUGUUCGAGGUCCACAUUGGUAGAAUUGAACGUGUUUCGGCCCAGGCAAGUUUCAGCAGGAAGAGUUGAGUUCCAAGAUUUCGGUCAAGCUACUACUGCUAUGACGUAUGACUGUGCCAUGGCUAGAAGUGCAUCAAGAGAUACUAUUUCUACAUUACAGAGAUCACUUUUGCAGCUAAUGAGGAUGAACUGUGCAGAACCAACUUCCUACAUCAUUGAAGGCCUGAAGAAAACAAUCUGUUAAUUACAUGGACAGCUGGAAAAGCAUCCCAGGAGGCCACCGCAUGGAACUGGUGUGGAGGAGGAAGUAGGGUUAGCCAGUCCCUGGAGCAAUUGGGGUUAAGGCCCUUACUCAAGGGCCCAAUGGUGGGAUCACUCUUCCAACUGAGGAAUUUGAAUCGGUAACCUUCUGAAUCUGAAACCACACAGCUGCUCCCCCCCAGCAUGUUUUUUUUGUGUGUAAUACGAAGUGUCUUUUUGGUCAGUGCAUAAUUCCA
Paramormyrops kingsleyae is the source of this 543-nucleotide long non-coding RNA. RefSeq lists it as uncharacterized. NCBI's taxonomy places the organism in Eukaryota, Metazoa, Chordata, Actinopteri, Osteoglossiformes, Mormyridae. The record is from RefSeq and is a predicted model, not a curated record.